Molecule: transfer RNA, 71 nt
Filed under: Ictidomys tridecemlineatus (thirteen-lined ground squirrel)
Lineage: Eukaryota; Metazoa; Chordata; Mammalia; Rodentia; Sciuridae
Description: Spermophilus tridecemlineatus (thirteen-lined ground squirrel) tRNA
Rfam family: tRNA
About the family: Transfer RNA (tRNA) molecules are approximately 80 nucleotides in length. Their secondary structure includes four short double-helical elements and three loops (D, anti-codon, and T loops).
Source: Rfam by way of RNAcentral
GUGGCUGUGGCUCAGUGGUAGAGCACUUGCUUAGCAUGUAUGAGGCACUGGGUUCGAUUCUCAGCACCACA